UGGGGAAUCUUAGACAAUGGGCGCAAGCCUGAUCUAGCCAUGCCGCGUGAGUGAUGAAGGCCUUAGGGUCGUAAAGCUCUUUCGCUGGGGGAAGAUAAUGACUGCUAACCCAAGUCAAAGGAAACCCCGGACUCAACUCCCGUGCCAAGCCAGCCGGCGGUAAUACGGAGGGGGGUUAGCGUUGUUCGGAAUUACUGGGCGUAAAGCGCGCGUAGGCGGAUUAGAAAGUUAGGGGUGAAAUCCCAGGGCUCAACCCUGGAACUGCCUCUAAAACUCCUAGUCUUGAGGUCGAGAGAGGUGAGUGGAAUUCCGAGUGUAGAGGUGAAAUUCGUAGAUAUUCGGAGGAACACCAGUGGCGAAGGCGGCUCACUUGGCUCGAUACUGACGCUGAGGUGCGAAAGCGUGGGGGAGCAAACA
This 417-nucleotide ribosomal RNA is filed under the name uncultured Ketogulonicigenium sp. RNAcentral describes it as "bacterial SSU rRNA". It matches the Rfam family "Bacterial small subunit ribosomal RNA", at positions 355 to 774 of the family's 1533-position model. Lineage: Bacteria; Pseudomonadati; Pseudomonadota; Alphaproteobacteria; Rhodobacterales; Roseobacteraceae. The record is from RNAcentral.